AGAGCUAAUACAUGCGACAAAGCUCCGACCCUCGUUGGAAAGAGCGCUUUUAUUAGAUCAAGACCAACCGGUAUCGCUCCUCGUGGGCGUGCCGUCGGAUUGAUGACUCUGGAUAACCUUCGCCGAUCGUAUGGCCCCGCGCCGACGACGCAUCUUUCAAAUGUCUGCCCUAUCAACUUUCGUUGGUAGGUGAUUUGCCUACCAAGGUGUUUACGGGUAACGGGGGAUCAGGGUUCGA
This 238-nucleotide ribosomal RNA is filed under the name Emplectonema gracile. RNAcentral's name for it is "partial small subunit ribosomal RNA". It matches the Rfam family "Eukaryotic small subunit ribosomal RNA", at positions 160 to 380 of the family's 1831-position model. Lineage: Eukaryota; Metazoa; Nemertea; Enopla; Monostilifera; Emplectonematidae. The record is from RNAcentral.